AUACGUAGGUGACAAGCGUUAUCCGGAUUUACUGGGCGUAAAGGGCGUGUAGGCGGUCUUGCAAGUCAGAAGUGAAAUUCCUGAGCUCAACUCGGGCGCUGCUUCUGAAACUGCAGGACUUGGGUGCUGGAGGGGAUAGCGGAAUUCCUAGUGGAGCGGUAAAAUGCGCAGAUAUUAGGAAGAACACCAAUGGCGAAGGCAGGCAUCUGGCCAUGUACUGACGCUGAGACGCGAAGGUGCGGGGAGCAAACAGGUUUAGAUACCCUGGUAGUCCGCACAGUAAACGAUGUGCACCAGGUGGCGGGGGGUCGACCCCCGGUACCGUAGCUAACGCAUUAAGUGCACCGCCUGGGGAGUAUGCUCGCAAGGGUGAAACUCAAAGGAAUUGACGGGG
This 394-nucleotide ribosomal RNA is filed under the name uncultured bacterium. RNAcentral describes it as "partial 16S ribosomal RNA". It matches the Rfam family "Bacterial small subunit ribosomal RNA", at positions 523 to 918 of the family's 1533-position model. The record is from RNAcentral.